UACACGUACAGAAAUUUACUACCCUGUCUCUAUACCAACGUGCUUGUCAGUGGACCUACGGUAACUGCUGUCCCGCCCCGCCCCGACCCCACGGAGGUGGAUGUGGAGACGAGGCUGGGGGCGCGCACAGGUGUACAUCAAGUCAUCAACAUGGCAUCGCAUCGCCGGCCGGCCCGGUGGUCCUGCCGUGUCCAGAUCAGCACGAGCACACCAGGUC
RNAcentral lists this long non-coding RNA (217 nucleotides) under Setaria italica (foxtail millet). Its description in RNAcentral is "long non-coding RNA (SITA_LNC003483)". Lineage: Eukaryota; Viridiplantae; Streptophyta; Magnoliopsida; Poales; Poaceae. The record is from RNAcentral.